GUGCCAGCCGCCGCGGUAAUACGGAAGGUCCGGGCGUUAUCCGGAUUUAUUGGGUUUAAAGGGAGCGCAGGCUGAUUGUUAAGCGUGACGUGAAAUGUAGCCGCUCAACGGCUGCACUGCGUCGCGAACUGGCAGUCUUGAGUGAGUACGACGUCAGCGGAAUUCGUGGUGUAGCGGUGAAAUGCUUAGAUAUCACGAAGAACCCCGAUUGCGAAGGCAGCUGACGAGUCCUUUACUGACGCUAAAGCUCGAAGGUGCGGGUAUCGAACAGGAUUAGAUACCCUGGUAGUCCGCACGGUAAACGAUGGAUGCCCGCUGUUGGCGAUAUAGUGUCAGCGGCCAAGCGAAAGCGUUAAGCAUCCCACCUGGGGAGUACGCCGGCAACGGUGAAACUCAAAGGAAUUGACGGGGGCCCGCACAAGCGGAGGAACAUGUGGUUUAAUUCGAUGAUACGCGAGGAACCUUACCCGGGCUUGAACUGCAGCAGGAGGAUACAGAGAUGUUGACGCCCUUCGGGGCUGCUGUGGAGGUGCUGCAUGGUUGUCGUCAGCUCGUGCCGUGAGGUGUCGGCUUAAGUGCCAUAACGAGCGCAACCCCUGUCCGUAGUUGCCAUCAGGUAGUGCUGGGCACUCUGCGGAUACUGCCACCGUAAGGUGUGAGGAAGGUGGGGAUGACGUCAAAUCAGCACGGCCCUUACGUCCGGGGCUACACACGUGUUACAAUGGGGAGUACAAAGAGUCGGUCGUCAGCAAUUGCGAUCCAAUCCUUAAAGCUCUCCUCAGUUCGGAUUGGGUCUGCAACCCGACCCCAUGAAGCUGGAUUCGCUAGUAAUCGCGCAUCAGCCAUGGCGCGGUGAAUACGUUCCCGGGCCUUGUACACACCGCCCGU
Molecule: ribosomal RNA, 888 nt
Filed under: uncultured rumen bacterium
Lineage: Bacteria
Description: bacterial SSU rRNA
Rfam family: Bacterial small subunit ribosomal RNA
Source: RNAcentral